Falco peregrinus (peregrine falcon) is the source of this 2665-nucleotide long non-coding RNA. RefSeq lists it as uncharacterized. NCBI's taxonomy places the organism in Eukaryota, Metazoa, Chordata, Aves, Falconiformes, Falconidae. The record is from RefSeq and is a predicted model, not a curated record. The transcript is spliced from 3 exons.
GUGAAACUAACUCUGCCACAAGCAUGAGGAAACCGGAACACAGGCAUCACCUCCUACAGUAGUUUUCCACUCAUCGUAUUCCAAUAAAGUUUGGGAAGUUUACAGUGAUUAACAUCAACCUGAGAAUGAAGUUGGACCCCUCCCCAGACACUUAAAGCCAUGGUGACUGUCUCCCAAGGCAGCGUGUACACGUGUGAACAGCCAGCUAUUGUUUUGCUGAUCCUGAGCAAAGCGUAGUCAAGGCAGAAUGGCUUCAUCCCUUCCUUGGAGAGGAUUGUGCCACUUUAAGAACACCAAGUGGGAGGUGAUAUAGGCACUGCUGUACAAACAAGUACCUGUGCAUGCUGCCACACUCACCAGAGCCUCACACAGCUGAGGGGAUGCUGCCCUCGCCCUCCCUGGUUUGUCUGGUAGGUUGAACACCACCUUCUCUAACGUGUGGUUUUGCUGCCUGACAGAAGAGGGUCACCCAGAGUGACUCGAUUUUAUCUACAAGACUCGCAAGACACCUUGAGGACGCUGAGAAGGCGAGAGUGGACUGAAAAGAGCUGAAAGACUACGGGACCCGCAAGCUUUAGGGAAAGCCAGAACUUAUUUCAGCUUCAGCCUCUUGGCAUGAAGGAAACCAUGUUGGAGACGAACCUGGCCCUAUGGGAAAUAAUGCUGGUCAUUUUUGCUGCCGUGCUGAUAAUGAGUUUCCUCAUGUUUCUGCCCCCCGCUGCAGUGGUGAUCUGGAGAAUGAAGCAUGUGCCACAGAUCUCGCUGCAUGGCUCUGUGUGAGGCAGCCCUGGCACGAGCCGUGACACCGCCGAUCCCUUGAAAGGAUGGUUCAGAAUGAUGACAGCUCUCAGGGUCACUCUUACCGCCUAGGAUCCAUCCAAAGGCAAUAGGUUUUCCAGCCUAUUGCUGCUAAGUUCCUGUGGAAAGAGAACAUGUAUAGUUUUGUCCUCAUCUACCACAGUUCUCAGCACUUUGCCUUCCAUUCUUCGGCUAUGUUGUAAUUACUGUUGUUGGCUUAGUUCCUAGACCGACUUCUUCUCUUGCAUUAUAAUGGACUGAAAAUAAGACUGGAAGAGAAGCAAGCAUGAUACAGCAUUGCAUUCCCUUAAUUUCAGGAAAGCCUCCCUUUCUACUAGUUACACUGUAAAUAUUAUCAAAGCCUUGAGCUGAUGUGACUGUCAGUUAUGCAGGUGGACAUACCAAAAGCUCGGAAUGUACUCCAGGAAGGUAGUGGUUUGGUCUGGUUUUACCAUGAAACCUAAAAAAACCCCAAAACCCGAACCCAUGACAAAUGGGGUAAUAAAUAAGCAUCUUGUGCUUCUCUCACCUGAUCUGAAAAUUCGCUAGCCUAAAAUGUUUUUCAUUUCUUUCCUUAUGCAUGAAUUUCUUGUCUCUGCAAAUCCCGAGUGCCAGAACACAAAGCCCUCAGCAUCCCAGGGUUAGGGCAGGAGCGUGAGGGAUGGCCCGAUGCUCAGACAUGCCUGGCCAGACACUGGCUCGAAGUUAAUGCAAACAUAGAGCAACUAUUUGCCUGAACUACAUUAUGCAAAUUUACUCUGGGAAAUAAUGUGAUUAAGAUUACUUUAGUUUUUAACUGUUGUAUAGGUUUAUUGGUGCAGCUUCCCUUUCUCAUAUAUAAAUAAUAGCUUGGACGGCGGGAAUAGAACAAAACUGUUUCUCUGCAAGUUUAUGAAAAAAAACAACCACCCGAACAACCCAAUCUCCAGCCUAAUGUCAUAUUCAUGCCAGAUCAAAUUAAAGCUUUCCAGUCUAAUUCUUCCACACUGUGGGACGCUCAUUAGAAGGAUUUCUGAGGCACAGAAGUAACAGUUUCUGUCAGUUUACAAGAGCAAUGGGUUUGAUUUCCUCAUGAAAUCCAAUGCUGGGCUGCUUUGCUUUUGUUGGUUGGUUUGGAAAGCCACUAGAAUUGCUUAAUAUAACUCAGAGGAAAAUGGUUUUUAGCACCAGUAGGAAAAUGAUACUGGGAAGUGCUCAGUGCUUCAGCUAUUUUAUUUGAGCAUCAGCAGAUAAUGAAUUGGCUGGAAAUGACUCAAAGACAUUAUCAUUUCAUUUGAUAGAGAUUAUUUGUUUGCCAGAAAUAAACAAACCCACCAGUGAUUGAAAAACGAUGCUUUUCUUUAAGACUACAGCACUUUUGUCUCCAACACAAUGACUUAAGCUACUGCCUCAUCAUUUAUAAGCAGCCAACUCAUCCCUUUGUUGGUGUAAUUGCCUGCUACACUCAUAGUCAUAUGACUGUCUGGUCCCAGGCCCAAAAGCAACCGAUGGUUUUUUUGCUAAUGAUGACUGCAUUCUGAGCCUGAAAGAUAAUGGGUAAUUUUAUAUAUCUGAAUCAUUUCACUGACUGACGAGGUAAAGGUCAAUUAUACACCACGUACCGCAUAACUGUGCUGUGUCUGAGAGAUUCACAGGAAUAGGGAAAAGGUAAAGAAGAGAGAGGAAACACAAACAGAUGAGCUGGCUGCCUUCAGAUCUACGGCGUCAGUGUUUGCUCAACAGAAGAAAAUUAAAACAAAACCUCAAGUACGGAUUCCACUGAAAAACAAGCAAGCAGUAACUAAGUUUCUUGUUUAGAUUUCAUAAUAAUUCACAUGCUUGUCCGUUCUGUAGCUACAGCUCCACACAAAUAAACAGGAUCACCAGA